RNAcentral lists this unclassified non-coding RNA (377 nucleotides) under uncultured bacterium. Its description in RNAcentral is "contains 16S-23S intergenic spacer region". The record is from RNAcentral.
UCCGAGUUGACCCCGGCAGUCUCUCACGAGUCCCCGCCAUAACGCGCUGGCAACAUGAGACAAGGGUUGCGCUCGUUGCGGGACUUAACCCAACAUCUCACGACACGAGCUGACGACAGCCAUGCACCACCUGCACACAGGCCACAAGGGAACGACUAUCUCUAGCCGCGUCCUGUGCAUGUCAAACCCAGGUAAGGUUCUUCGCGUUGCAUCGAAUUAAUCCACAUGCUCCACCGCUUGUGCGGGUCCCCGUCAAUUCUUUUGAGUUUCAGCCUUGCGACUGUACUCCCCAGGCGGUAUACUUAACGCGUUAGCUACGGCACAAAAGGGGUCGAUUCCUCUUACAGCAAAUGUGCACCGUUUACAGCUAGGACUAC